GCCCCGUUGGCCCAACAGGCAGAGGCGGCCGCCCCAACAGCGGCCAUGGUCGCGGUUCGAAUCCGCGACGGGGCACCA
This 78-nucleotide transfer RNA is filed under the name Bifidobacterium reuteri. Its description in RNAcentral is "tRNA-Leu". The record is from RNAcentral. Lineage: Bacteria; Bacillati; Actinomycetota; Actinomycetes; Bifidobacteriales; Bifidobacteriaceae. RNAcentral also lists the same sequence under 1 other name.